CCCUACGGGGCGCAGCAGUGAGGAAUAUUGGUCAAUGGUCGGGAGACUGAGCCAGCCAAGCCGCGUGAGGGAUGAAGGUGCAGAGUAUCGUAAACCUCUUUUGUCAGGGAACAAAGGCGGGGACGUGUCCCCGGAUGAGUGUACCUGAAGAAAAAGCAUCGGCUAACUCCGUGCCAGCAGCCGCGGUAAUACGGAGGAUGCGAGCGUUAUCCGGAUUUAUUGGGUUUAAAGGGUGCGCAGGCGGUCUGUUAAGUCAGCGGUCAAAGCCCGGGGCUCAACCCCGGCCCGCCGUUGAAACUGGCAGG
Molecule: ribosomal RNA, 305 nt
Filed under: uncultured bacterium
Lineage: Bacteria
Description: bacterial SSU rRNA
Rfam family: Bacterial small subunit ribosomal RNA
Source: RNAcentral